GCUGAAGAACGUAGCGAAAUGCGAUACGUAAUGUGAAUUGCAGAAUUCAGUGAAUCAUCGAAUCUUUGAACGCAUAUUGCGCUCUCUGGUAUUCCGGAGAGCAUGCUUGUUUGAGUAUCAGUAAACACCUCAACUUCCAUAUCUUUUUUGAAAUGGGAGUUGGACUUGAGUGAUCCCAACGCUUUUCCUCACCGAAAAGUGGCGGGUUACUUGAAAUGCAGGUGCAGCUGGACUUUUCUCUGAGCUAUAAGCAUAUCUAUUUAGUCUGCCUAAAAAACAGAUUAUUACCUUUGCUGCAGCUAACAUAAAGGAGAUUAGUUCUUGUGCUGACUGAUGCAGGAUUCACAAAGACAGGCUUCGGCCGACUUUGUAAACUCGAUCUCAAAUCAAGUAAGACUACCCGCUGAACUUAAGCAUAUCAAUAAGCGGAGGA
Molecule: unclassified non-coding RNA, 433 nt
Filed under: soil metagenome
Description: partial contains 5.8S ribosomal RNA, internal transcribed spacer 2, and large subunit ribosomal RNA
Rfam family: 5.8S ribosomal RNA (bases 3-120)
Source: RNAcentral